CCCUUCUACAAAGGCAUGUCUGUGGUUCCCUGACUUUGGACAUGUAAGAAUGGGAGGCAAAGAAAUGAGGACUUGGAGAAGUCUGGGGCCAGCUUGUUACCUGUGGGCUCAAGUUCAACCAUCCUACCUAG
Small nucleolar RNA from Pteronotus mesoamericanus, 131 nucleotides. RefSeq annotates it as small nucleolar RNA SNORA38. The transcript has a single exon. Lineage: Eukaryota; Metazoa; Chordata; Mammalia; Chiroptera; Mormoopidae. The record is from RefSeq and is a predicted model, not a curated record.